GACGAACGCUGGCGGCGUGCUUAACACAUGCAAGUCGAACGGGCCCGCCCCUGUUUUUGGGGGUGGGUUGAGUGGCGAACGGGUGAGUAUCACGUGAGUAACCUGCCCCCUGCUCCUGGAUAACUGCUUGAAAGGGCGGCUAAUACGGGGUGUGCCGGCUGGUCCGCAUGGGCCUGGUCGGGAUAGUUUCAUCUUCGGGUGUUUCGGUGGGGGAUGGGCUCGCGGCCUAUCAGCUUGUUGGUGGGGUGAUGGCCCACCAAGGCGGUGACGGGUAGCCGGCCUGAGAGGGUGGGCGGCCACACUGGGACUGGGACACGGCCCAGACGCCUGCGGGAGGCAGCAGUGGGGGGUAUUGCACAAUGGGCGGAAGCCGGAUGCAGCGACGUCGCGUGAGGGAUGGAGGCCUUCGGGUGGUGAACCUCUUUCUCCGGUGGUGAAGGCCCUGUCCGUUGCGGCGGGGUUGACGGUAGCCGGGUAUGAAGCGCCGGCUAACUACGUG
RNAcentral lists this ribosomal RNA (499 nucleotides) under uncultured bacterium. RNAcentral's name for it is "partial 16S ribosomal RNA". It matches the Rfam family "Bacterial small subunit ribosomal RNA", at positions 28 to 507 of the family's 1533-position model. The record is from RNAcentral.